AUUGAACGCUGGCGGCAUGCUUUACACAUGCAAGUCGAACGGUAACAGGCCUUCGGGUGCUGACGAGUGGCGAACGGGUGAGUAAUGCAUCGGAACGUGCCCAAUCGUGGGGGAUAACGUAGCGAAAGUUACGCUAAUACCGCAUAAGCCCUGAGGGGGAAAGUGGGGACCGCAAGGCCUCACGCGAAUGGAGCGGCCGAUGUCAGAUUAGCUAGUUGGUGGGGUAAAGGCCCACCAAGGCGACGAUCUGUAGCGGGUCUGAGAGGAUGAUCCGCCACACUGGGACUGAGACACGGCCCAGACUCCUACGGGAGGCAGCAGUGGGGAAUUUUGGACAAUGGGCGCAAGCCUGAUCCAGCCAUGCCGCGUGCGGGACGAAGGCCUCGGUGUAA
RNAcentral lists this ribosomal RNA (392 nucleotides) under uncultured bacterium. RNAcentral describes it as "bacterial SSU rRNA". It matches the Rfam family "Bacterial small subunit ribosomal RNA", at positions 29 to 428 of the family's 1533-position model. The record is from RNAcentral.